AGAGUGAACGCUGGCGGUAGGCCUAACACAUGCAAGUCGAACGGCAGCACGGUAAGAGCUUGCUCUUAUGGGUGGCGAGUGGCGGACGGGUGAGGAAUACAUCGGAAUCUACCUUUUGGUGGGGGAUAACGUAGGGAAACUUACGCUAAUACCGCAUACGCCCUUCGGGGGAAAGCCGGGGACCAGCAAUGGCCUGGUGCUGAUAGAUGAGCCGAUGUCGGAUUAGCUUGUUGGACGGGU
Molecule: ribosomal RNA, 240 nt
Filed under: uncultured soil bacterium
Lineage: Bacteria
Description: partial 16S ribosomal RNA
Rfam family: Bacterial small subunit ribosomal RNA
Source: RNAcentral